UUAGAACCUAUUGAGGAAAGAAAGAAAUACAAGGUUAAUCACAGAGAGUCGGACUAAGCUGAGAGUCGAUAUUAAACGGUAUUUUAAUACAUUCCUCAGGUUAUCUAUUGAAAUAAAGUAGGUAGAUACGUGUCUGUCGUUAUCAGAAAUGAGAUGUAGUUUUAAAACUAUGAAUCAGGGUGGUACCGCGGAGUUUAGUCCUUCGCCCCUCAU
Molecule: non-coding RNA, 213 nt
Filed under: Peptoniphilus asaccharolyticus
Lineage: Bacteria; Bacillati; Bacillota; Tissierellia; Tissierellales; Peptoniphilaceae
Description: T-box sequence
Rfam family: T-box leader
About the family: Uncharged tRNA acts as the effector for transcription antitermination of genes in the T-box leader family. T-boxes are found upstream of many aminoacyl-tRNA synthetase genes and some amino acid biosynthetic genes usually in Gram-positive bacteria. The anticodon of a specific tRNA base pairs to a specifier sequence within the T-box motif, and the NCCA acceptor tail of the tRNA base pairs to a conserved bulge in the T-box antiterminator hairpin.
Source: RNAcentral